GCGGCAUUGGCGGAAUUGGUAGACGCGCUAGACUUAGGAUCUAGUUCGAUGAGAGUGUAGGUUCGAGUCCUAUAUGCCGCACCA
RNAcentral lists this transfer RNA (84 nucleotides) under Candidatus Colicola equi. RNAcentral describes it as "tRNA-Leu". It matches the Rfam family "tRNA". From Rfam's summary of the family: Transfer RNA (tRNA) molecules are approximately 80 nucleotides in length. Their secondary structure includes four short double-helical elements and three loops (D, anti-codon, and T loops). Lineage: Bacteria; Pseudomonadati; Bacteroidota; Bacteroidia; Bacteroidales; Paludibacteraceae. The record is from RNAcentral.